GACGAACGCUGGCGGCGUGCCUAAUACAUGCAAGUCGAGCGAAUGGAUUAAGAGCUUGCUCUUAUGAAGUUAGCGGCGGACGGGUGAGUAACACGUGGGUAACCUGCCCAUAAGACUGGGAUAACUCCGGGAAACCGGGGCUAAUACCGGAUAACAUUUUGAACCGCAUGGUUCGAAAUUGAAAGGCGGCUUCGGCUGUCGAUUAUGGAUGGACACGCGUCGCAUUAGCUAGUUGGUGAGGUAACGGCUCACCAAGGCAACGAUGCGUAGCCGACCUGAGAGGGUGAUCGGCCACACUGGGACUGAGACACGGCCCAGACUCCUACGGGAGGCAGCAGUAGGGAAUCUUCCGCAAUGGACGAAAGUCUGACGGAGCAACGCCGCGUGAGUGAUGAAGGCUUUCGGGUCGUAAAACUCUGUUGUUAGGGAAGAACAAGUGCUAGUUGAAUAAGCUGGCACCUUGACGGUACCUAACCAGAAAGCCACGGCUAACUACGUGCCAGCCGCCGCGGUAA
RNAcentral lists this ribosomal RNA (515 nucleotides) under uncultured bacterium. Its description in RNAcentral is "partial 16S ribosomal RNA". It matches the Rfam family "Bacterial small subunit ribosomal RNA", at positions 28 to 523 of the family's 1533-position model. The record is from RNAcentral.